UGCUGUGAUGGUGUAAUUUGCGUCUUACUUUGUGUACAGUGACAGUUGCCUGCUGUCAUGAUGCUGGCACAAAAGGCUGAAGAACAUUCAUUUCUGAGCA
Molecule: small nucleolar RNA, 100 nt
Organism: Protopterus annectens (West African lungfish)
Lineage: Eukaryota; Metazoa; Chordata; Ceratodontiformes; Protopteridae
Product: small nucleolar RNA SNORD16
Exons: 1
Source: RefSeq, a predicted model, not a curated record